UUACGGCCAUAUCACGUUAAAACACCAGUUCCCGUAUGAUCCCCGAUGUUAAGCAAUGAUGAACCUGACCAUUAUCUGGAUGGGUGACCACUGGUUAAUAUUGGUGUUGUAA
Non-coding RNA from Acanthosepion pharaonis, 112 nucleotides. Lineage: Eukaryota; Metazoa; Mollusca; Cephalopoda; Sepiida; Sepiidae. The record is from the annotation of a GenBank genome assembly.